GUUUUCGACGCCAACGCUCGCGAAAAUCCGACAGUCGCAAAGAAAAGCUUUGUAGAACACGACGUUUAAUGCAUGAACGUCCAUUGUUGCACUCAUAGUCCAUUUGACCGAGUUACAGGCACGCGCUAAAGUAAAGCAAGUGCAGGUCAGAGCUGUUUUCAAGUUGGGAUCAAAAUUUGUGUCCCCUGAAUGGAACAUCUUCUGGGGAAAAAAGUGUACUAAAGGGCAGGUUCCACAGUGAAGUGAACACAACACAAGUUCAAAGUCCAACCUGUUUAUUUUUCUGGUCUAGUUUUCCAUGUAUAAUGUCAGCAUAAAUAGCGUCAAU
Molecule: long non-coding RNA, 328 nt
Organism: Pocillopora verrucosa
Lineage: Eukaryota; Metazoa; Cnidaria; Anthozoa; Scleractinia; Pocilloporidae
Source: RefSeq, a predicted model, not a curated record